Molecule: unclassified non-coding RNA, 205 nt
Filed under: fungal sp.
Lineage: Eukaryota; Fungi
Description: partial internal transcribed spacer region
Rfam family: Eukaryotic small subunit ribosomal RNA (bases 1-46)
Source: RNAcentral
AAGUCGUAACAAGGUAACCGUAGGUGAACCUGCGGUUGGAUCAUUAAUAAAUAUAGAAGGUCUUAAAGACCUUUCUAACAUCUUGUGAAUCGUUCAUGUCUCUGGCAGGCUUCCGUCUGCCGCUUACACUUUGUAUUAUAUUAUAGUCUAAAAAUCUAAAAAAAGUAAUUAAAACAACUUUUGGCAACGGAUCUCUUGGUUCUCC